AGCAACGCCGCGUGAGGGACGACGGCCUUUCGGGUUGUAAACCUCUUUUAGCAGGGAAGAAGCGAAAGUGACGGUACCUGCAGAAAAAGCGCCGGCUAACUACGUGCCAGCAGCCGCGGUAAUACGUAGGGCGCAAGCGUUAUCCGGAAUUAUUGGGCGUAAAGAGCUCGUAGGCGGUUUGUCGCGUCUGCUGUGAAAUCCCGAGGCUCAACCUCGGGUCUGCAGUGGGUACGGGCAGACUAGAGUGCGGUAGGGGAGAUUGGAAUUCCUGGUGUAGCGGUGGAAUGCGCAGAUAUCAGGAGGAACACCGAUGGCGAAGGCAGAUCUCUGGGCCGUAACUGACGCUGAGGAGCGAAAGGGUGGGGAGCAAACAGGCUUAGAUACCCUGGUAGUCCACCCCGUAAACGUUGGGAACUAGUUGUGGGGUCCAUUCCACGGAUUCCGUGACGCAGCUAACGCAUUAAGUUCCCCGCCUGGGGAGUACGGCCGCAAGGCUAAAACUCAAAGGAAUUGACGGGGACCCGCACAAGCGGCGGAGCAUGCGGAUUAAUUCGAUGCAACGCGAAGAACCUUACCAAGGCUUGACAUAUACGAGAACGGGCCAGAAAUGGUCAACUCUUUGGACACUCGUAAACAGGUGGUGCAUGGUUGUCGUCAGCUCGUGUCGUGAGAUGUUGGGUUAAGUCCCGCAACGAGCGCAACCCUCGUUCUAUGUUGCCAGCACGUAAUGGUGGGAACUCAUGGGAUACUGCCGGGGUCAACUCGGAGGAAGGUGGGGAUGACGUCAAAUCAUCAUGCCCCUUAUGUCUUGGGCUUCACGCAUGCUACAAUGGCCGGUACAAAGGGCUGCAAUACCGUAAGGUGGAGCGAAUCCCAAAAAGCCGGUCCCAGUUCGGAUUGAGGUCUGCAACUCGACCUCAUGAAGUCGGAGUCGCUAGUAAUCGCAGAUCAGCAACGCUGCGGUGAAUACGUUCCCGGGUCUUGUACACACCGCCCGUCAAGUCAUGAAAGUCGGUAACACCUGAAGCCGGUGGCCCAACCC
Molecule: ribosomal RNA, 1042 nt
Filed under: Microbacterium flavum
Lineage: Bacteria; Bacillati; Actinomycetota; Actinomycetes; Micrococcales; Microbacteriaceae
Description: bacterial SSU rRNA
Rfam family: Bacterial small subunit ribosomal RNA
Source: RNAcentral